AGCCUGCCAGAGCAAGUGCGCGCUUUUCCCCUUCGCUCAGAAUGUCGCUGUUCUUGCCGACCUUCUGCUUCGCCUCCAGCCCGAUCUGGACUUUGCUCUUGCCCACCUCUCCCCGGUCAGACAGUUUUAGCGGCAGAUGCCCGAGGUCGAGGGCGCCGAUCUCGUCCUGAAGGCUAUUUUGCAGGGAUGUGGUCAAAACCUUGCGCCGCAUACGCGUAAUGAGCGACGUAAUGCCGGCCACCGAACAGGCUGUCGUGCAAGCCUUGGUCUUGACCAGCAGCUCAAGCGAGUUGCGCCGCGCCACGAA
Molecule: unclassified non-coding RNA, 307 nt
Filed under: Hevea brasiliensis (rubber tree)
Lineage: Eukaryota; Viridiplantae; Streptophyta; Magnoliopsida; Malpighiales; Euphorbiaceae
Source: RNAcentral